RNAcentral lists this ribosomal RNA (441 nucleotides) under uncultured bacterium. RNAcentral's name for it is "partial 16S ribosomal RNA". It matches the Rfam family "Bacterial small subunit ribosomal RNA", at positions 338 to 795 of the family's 1533-position model. The record is from RNAcentral.
CCUACGGGGGGCAGCAGUGAGGAAUAUUGGGCAAUGGAGGAAACUCUGACCCAGCAACGCCGCGUGAAGGAUGAAGGUUUUCGGAUUGUAAACUUCUGUCGCGAGGGACGAAGAAUGACGGUACCUCGUAAGAAAGCCCCGGCAAACUACGUGCCAGCAGCCGCGGUAAUACGUAGGGGGCGAGCGUUGUCCGGAAUGACUGGGCGUAAAGGGAGUGUAGGCGGCUCUUUAAGUUAUAUGUGAAAUCCCGCGGCUUAACCGUGGAAGUGCAUAUAAAACUGGGGAGCUGGAGUGCAGGAGAGGUGAGUGGAAUGCCUAGUGUAGCGGUGGAAUGCGUAGAUAUCACGCAGAACUCCGAUUGCGAAGGCAGCAUACCGGCGCCCUACUGACGCUGAGGCACGAAAGCGUGGGUAUCGAACAGGAUUAGAUACCCGGGUAGUC